RNAcentral lists this transfer RNA (72 nucleotides) under Camelus bactrianus (Bactrian camel). It matches the Rfam family "tRNA". Rfam says of the family: Transfer RNA (tRNA) molecules are approximately 80 nucleotides in length. Their secondary structure includes four short double-helical elements and three loops (D, anti-codon, and T loops). The record is from Rfam by way of RNAcentral. RNAcentral also lists the same sequence under 2 other names. Lineage: Eukaryota; Metazoa; Chordata; Mammalia; Artiodactyla; Camelidae.
GUGGGCAUAGUUCAGUGGUAGAGCACAUGCUUAGCAUGCACAAGGUCCUGGGUUCAAUCCCCAGUACCUACA